RNAcentral lists this transfer RNA (76 nucleotides) under Polaromonas sp. P1-6. Its description in RNAcentral is "tRNA-Ile". It matches the Rfam family "tRNA". From Rfam's summary of the family: Transfer RNA (tRNA) molecules are approximately 80 nucleotides in length. Their secondary structure includes four short double-helical elements and three loops (D, anti-codon, and T loops). Further hydrogen bonds mediate the characteristic L-shaped molecular structure. tRNAs have two regions of fundamental functional importance: the anti-codon, which is responsible for specific mRNA codon recognition, and the 3' end, to which the tRNAs corresponding amino acid is attached (by aminoacyl-tRNA synthetases). tRNAs cope with the degeneracy of the genetic code in two manners: having more than one tRNA (with a specific anti-codon) for a particular amino acid; and 'wobble' base-pairing, i.e. permitting non-standard base-pairing at the 3rd anti-codon position. Lineage: Bacteria; Pseudomonadati; Pseudomonadota; Betaproteobacteria; Burkholderiales; Comamonadaceae. The record is from RNAcentral.
AGCCGUAUAGCUCAGUCGGUAGAGCACCGUCUUGAUAAGGCGGUUGUCGCUGGUUCGAUCCCAGCUGCGGCUACCA